RNAcentral lists this ribosomal RNA (262 nucleotides) under uncultured bacterium. RNAcentral describes it as "partial 16S ribosomal RNA". It matches the Rfam family "Bacterial small subunit ribosomal RNA", at positions 793 to 1055 of the family's 1533-position model. The record is from RNAcentral.
GUCCACGCCGUAAACGAUGGAUGCUAGCCGUCAGGUAGCUUGCUACUUGGUGGCGCAGCUAACGCUUUAAGCAUCCCGCCUGGGGAGUACGGCCGCAAGGUUAAAACUCAAAGGAAUUGACGGGGGCCCCGCACAAGCGGUGGAGCAUGUGGUUUAAUUCGACGCAACGCGAAGAACCUUACCAGCCCUUGACAUGUACUGGAAUGCCCGGAGAGAUUUGGGCAGCCGCAAGGCCAGUACACAGGUGUUGCAUGGCUGUCGU